This 665-nucleotide ribosomal RNA is filed under the name uncultured Alphaproteobacteria bacterium. RNAcentral describes it as "bacterial SSU rRNA". It matches the Rfam family "Bacterial small subunit ribosomal RNA", at positions 64 to 774 of the family's 1533-position model. The record is from RNAcentral. Lineage: Bacteria; Pseudomonadati; Pseudomonadota; Alphaproteobacteria.
GAACGCUGUAGCAAUACAGAGUGGCAGACGGGUGAGUAACGCGUGGGAACGUACCCUUCGGUUCGGAAUAACUCAGGGAAACUUGAGCUAAUACCGGAUACGUGCGAGAGCAGAAAGAUUUAUCGCCGAAGGAUCGGCCCGCGUCCGAUUAGCUAGUUGGUGAGGUAAAGGCUCACCAAGGCGACGAUCGGUAGCUGGUCUGAGAGGAUGAUCAGCCACACUGGGACUGAGACACGGCCCAGACUCCUACGGGAGGCAGCAGUGGGGAAUAUUGGACAGAUGGGCGCAAGCCUGAUCCAGCCAUGCCGCGUGAGUGAUGAAGGCCCUAGGGUUGUAAAGCUCUUUCGCCAGGGACGAUAAUGACGGUACCUGGAUAAGAAGCCCCGGCUAACUUCGUGCCAGCAGCCGCGGUAAUACGAAGGGGGCUAGCGUUGUUCGGAUUUACUGGGCGUAAAGCGCACGUAGGCGGAUUUUUAAGUCAGGGGUGAAAUCCCAAGGCUCAACCUUGGAACUGCCUUUGAUACUGGAAGUCUCGAGUCCGGGAGAGGUGAGUGGAACUGCGAGUGUAGAGGUGAAAUUCGUAGAUAUUCGCAAGAACACCAGUGGCGAAGGCGGCUCACUGGCCCGGUACUGACGCUGAGGUGCGAAAGCGUGGGGAGCAAACA